UUUGUAAACCAUGGUCACUAAACCUUCAAGUUUCAUAAUUCAAAUGCCAAUUUCAUUUUCAUUUAACCAUAACAUUCCUUUUCAAAUACAUUCAAGUUUUUUCAUAAACCAAAUUCCAUUACAAUUUCAAACCAGCCAUUUACAUUUCAAUACAAUUUCAAAAUCCAAUCUAAAACUACAUUCAAAUUUAAAACUAUGACAUACCAUAUUCAAUACACUUCCAUUUUUAUAAACCAAAUGACCAACCUAAUAGCUUAUAAUCUAAUGCUUCUUCCUAAACCAGCUCCAUUUCUAUAUGCAAGCAAAAACUCUUCAAGUCAUUCCAAACACAAGCAAAUUCCAACCUACAAGCCAAUUCCAUCACAAGUUCGCAGGCUUGGCCAAUUUCCAGUUAAUCCCUGCAUAAAAUCCAUAAUCCAAUGAACAAGUUAACAAGACAAGAUAAUCUCAAGCAGUUCAUUUUAAACUUCAUAACAGGCCCAACCAAUUAAUAUACCAUACCAUUCACUUUUCAAAAUUCAAUUCUAACCUGCAUAAUUCAGUAACUCACGAUUGACAUGACUAACAAACCUACACUCCAAUUAACAACCACAUUUGCAAUUUCGAAUUCUACUGUAAACAUUCCAAAAUCACCACAGAGAAUCAAAAUUCACUAACUGAAUUUGGAUGCAACAACUAACUCUAACAAUAUUUCUCAUUUGCAACAACUAACUUUGAAUUUCAUGUGAGUUUGGAUGAAAUUUGGCUUGCAUCUCAUAACUGAAUUGGAAUGCUAUAAAUCAAAUACAUUAUCCUCUCAAUUUUACUUUUUCAGCAUUUCAAUCACACGCAUCAAUUCCCUUCACGCAUUCUAUCAGAACAGAGUAAAAAAUCAUUCUUUAACCAUUCUUCACACAACGAAUGAAAAUCACAUAUCUAAAUCAAUUUUCAUUCUUCAUUCUCAGCACCUCACGUAAACUCUCAUAACCUCACGCAAUCCUCUCAGUUUAUCAACAAUUCCCACAAUGGUUUUGAUUUGAUCAAUCAAUAACAACACACACGAUAGCUGACAGAGGAAGAAGAAGAGAAAGCAAUUGAAACAGAGGAAGGAUAAUUCAUUACUUAUUUGCAUCAAAGCCCGAUUCGGUGAAUUCUCGCUUCGAUUUUUAUUUUGUUCUUUUCGGUUCUGCAUGCACAGUGAUGAAUUGAAGGGAUGUUGAUGUCGAUUUCGGAGAUUGAAUUGAUGAUCAGAGCCAUAUUCUUCAAAUUGUUUCACUGCAAAUUCGUUCUUGAGGAUGGAAAGUGUGAAAUCGAAAGAGUGAAUAUUAGAUGUGUUGUUGUGUUGAGACUUAAGUUCUUGAACUUGGCUUCAAACCUGAGCACUUUGGAUUCAUUGUUUCCCAUUGGCGCUUUGGACUCAGUUUCAUUAGGUGCCAUUUGCAACCCGGUUCGUUUUGGGCUCAGGCCCAAACGAAUUUUUUAUGGAACACUCCCACAUACUUUACACCCCUGCUCAAUAUUAACCCUUUAA
This 1510-nucleotide long non-coding RNA is filed under the name Lathyrus oleraceus (garden pea). RNAcentral's name for it is "Pisum sativum (pea) long non-coding RNA (PSAT_LNC008323)". The record is from RNAcentral. Lineage: Eukaryota; Viridiplantae; Streptophyta; Magnoliopsida; Fabales; Fabaceae.